AAUUGUGUGAGGAGUAAGUGUAAAAGAGAAAGACUUUGGGGUCGAAACACGGCAAGACUCCCAAGGUCUUUUUCAU
This is a non-coding RNA of Stanieria cyanosphaera PCC 7437, 76 nucleotides long. The record is from Rfam. Lineage: Bacteria; Bacillati; Cyanobacteriota; Cyanophyceae; Pleurocapsales; Dermocarpellaceae.